AACUUUCCUCGCCGGCGGCGGAGAGGCGCGUCCGGCCCGCUGCCAUCCCCGUGGCUCCGGGCGGGCUCCAGCCUUCCCAGCGCCCCGCCGUUCUGCGCGCGCCUCGUCUCGGCGGGUGCGCGUCUCUGCUCCCGCCUUUACCCCCCUGGGAUACGCCAGAAUGUGCCACCGCGAAAGCGUGAAACCUUUACCCGAUUGAGUUCGAGUGGCAGCUGUGAGCGCUUUCUUUAAUUCCGGUAAAAUAUUGCCGUGCUCUCGCCCUGUGCUGUCCAGGAUGCGGUCGUCGGAAUCCUUCCGUUUGAUCCCAGGUUAUGGAGCACGGAACAUCAGCCGGGCUGCGUAUAAAAUGUUAUUGCUUAGUCUUACUAAGGAAUGGAGUACUUUAAAAUGCUUGUGGAUGUAUUUGCUCCUGAAUUCUGCAGUCCAAAGAAUAUGCAUUUGAGGAACUUUUACAUUACUGUUCCCCCACUGGUGAGUAUUGUUAUUGUGUGUACCAGCACUUCAAAA
Molecule: non-coding RNA, 507 nt
Organism: Meleagris gallopavo (turkey)
Lineage: Eukaryota; Metazoa; Chordata; Aves; Galliformes; Phasianidae
Source: RefSeq, a predicted model, not a curated record